Molecule: ribosomal RNA, 726 nt
Filed under: Triticum aestivum (bread wheat)
Lineage: Eukaryota; Viridiplantae; Streptophyta; Magnoliopsida; Poales; Poaceae
Description: partial small subunit ribosomal RNA
Source: RNAcentral
AUGGUCACCCCGCUGCGCGUCAUGGCGCCUGGGGACAUGGAACCCUCGCCAGGGGGAGCCAGUGGCGACCAGCCGGGGCUGGGGGGAAGCGGUGACGACAUCAUCAUCUUGGAGAAGGCGCCGGAGCCGACCCCGCCAACUGGGGCGGCCCAAGGCGGCCAGCCUGAUCCGCCGCCUGCACAGUCGGCGAAGGGCGAGCCGGCCGCGGGGGCUGAGGUGGCGGUCCGGGUGCCGCCGAGCCGGCGCGCGGGGAAGGCCGCGUCGGAGCCACAGCCGGCCGUGGGCUCCAGCUCGUCGGCCCGAGACGCGGAGGCGGCCAGCGCUACCUCGGGGUGGACGCCAGGCGGAGGGACAGCCGUAGUGAACGUGGCUGCACAAGACGUCCGGACCCGGCUCCAAAGCCAAGCCGCGGCGCUGAGGCAGUUCACCGACGAGUCCCUCGCAACGCGGGCGGCCAUACGGGACUACCACAACCUUCGAGCGGCCGCCUUCAACUCCCAGGCUCGGGAGCUGACUCAGAAGACCGCCGAUCUUACUGAGAGCCGAGUGGCCAACGCCAUUCUGAGGGCACAGCUGGGGGAGUCCCAGACUGCUCUUCGUGCCAAGGAUGCCGAGCUCGCCGCCUUGGUGCAGGAGCGCGACUGCCUGGUCAAGAAGCUGGCCGACCAGGAGGAAGGCCACAAGGCGGCGUUGAAGGCUGUGCAGGAUCGUGAAGCCACUCUCUAG